CCCUUAGAUGUUCUGGGCCGCACGCGCGCUACACUGACGAAGUCAGCGAGCAUGUCCUACGCCGACAGGUGCGGGGAAUCUUGUCAAACUUCGUCGUGAUGGGGAUUGAUUAUUGAAAUUCUUGAUCAUCAACGAGGAAUUCCUAGUAAGCGCAAGUCAGCAGCUUGCGUUGAUUACGUCCCUGCCCUUUGUACACACCGCCCGUCGCUACUACCGAUUGAAUGGUUUAGUGAGAUCUUCGGAUUGGCGCUACUGCGGCUCAGCAAUGGGCUCGGUGGAUGCCGAAAAGUUGAUCAAACUUGAUCAUUUAGAGGAAGUAAAAGUCGUAACA
Molecule: ribosomal RNA, 331 nt
Filed under: uncultured eukaryote
Lineage: Eukaryota
Description: partial 18S ribosomal RNA
Rfam family: Eukaryotic small subunit ribosomal RNA
Source: RNAcentral